RNAcentral lists this ribosomal RNA (916 nucleotides) under uncultured Alphaproteobacteria bacterium. RNAcentral's name for it is "bacterial SSU rRNA". It matches the Rfam family "Bacterial small subunit ribosomal RNA", at positions 1 to 887 of the family's 1533-position model. Lineage: Bacteria; Pseudomonadati; Pseudomonadota; Alphaproteobacteria. The record is from RNAcentral.
UGUAAAACGACGGCCAGUGAAUUGUAAUACGACUCACUAUAGGGCGAAUUGAAAUUAGCGGCCGCGAAUUCGCCCUUUAGAGUUUGAUCAUGGCUCAGAACGAACGCUGGCGGCAUGCCUAACACAUGCAAGUCGAACGAGAAGCUAUCUUCGGGUAGUGGAAAGUGGCGCACGGGUGAGUAACGCGUGGGAACCUGCCCUGAGGUUCGGAAUAACGAUUGGAAACGGUCGCUAAUACCGGAUGAGCCCUGAGGGGGAAAGAUUUAUCGCCUUGGGAGGGGCCCGCGUCCGAUUAGCUUGUUGGUGUGGUAACGGCGCACCAAGGCUUCGAUCGGUAGCUGGUCUGAGAGGAUGAUCAGCCACACUGGGACUGAGACACGGCCCAGACUCCUACGGGAGGCAGCAGUGGGGAAUAUUGGACAAUGGGGGCAACCCUGAUCCAGCAAUGCCGCGUGUGUGAAGAAGGCCUUAGGGUUGUAAAGCACUUUCAGUCGUGACGAUGAUGACGGUAACGACAGAAGAAGCCCCGGCUAACUCCGUGCCAGCAGCCGCGGUAAUACGGAGGGGGCAAGUGUUGUUCGGAAUUACUGGGCGUAAAGGGCGCGUAGGCGGCCAAGUCAGUCAGGCGUGAAAGCCCAGGGCUCAACCCUGGAAUUGCGCUUGAUACUGCUUGGCUCGAGACCGGAAGAGGGUAGUGGAAUUCCCAGUGUAGAGGUGAAAUUCGUAGAUAUUGGGAAGAAUACCAAUUGCGAAGGCAGCUUUCUGGAUCAUUACUGACACUGAGGAACGAAAGCAUGGGUAGCGAAGAGGAUUAGAUACCCUCGUAGUCCAUGCCGUAAACGAUGUGUGUUAGACGUGGAAAUUUAUUUUCUGUGUCGCAGCGAAAGCGAAAACACACCGCCGGGAGUAGACGUAA